This 72-nucleotide transfer RNA is filed under the name Camelus bactrianus (Bactrian camel). It matches the Rfam family "tRNA". From Rfam's summary of the family: Transfer RNA (tRNA) molecules are approximately 80 nucleotides in length. Their secondary structure includes four short double-helical elements and three loops (D, anti-codon, and T loops). Lineage: Eukaryota; Metazoa; Chordata; Mammalia; Artiodactyla; Camelidae. RNAcentral also lists the same sequence under 2 other names. The record is from Rfam by way of RNAcentral.
GAAGGUAUAGCUCAGUGGCAGAAUGUAUGCCUAGCCUGCAUGAGGGUCUGGGUUCAAUCCCCUGUACCUCCU